CUUGGUGAUUUAGGCUCAGUUUUGGGGUUCUGUUUUGGGGUUUUAGGGCUCGGUUUUGGGGUUCAGUUUUGGGGUUUCAGAGUUCAGCUUUUGGGGCUCAGUUUUGGGGCUCAGUUUGGGGCUCAGUUUUGGGGUUUUGGGGCUCAAUUUUGGGCUCAAUUUUGGGGUUUGAUUUUGGGGUUUGAUUUUGGGGUUUCAGGGCUCAGCUUUCAGGCCUCAGCUUUGGGGAUUUGCUUUGGGGUUUUGGGGCUCCGUUUUGGGGCUCAGUUUUGGGGUUUUAGGACUCAGUUUUGGGUUCAUUUUGGGGGUUUUGGGUCUCAGCUUUGGGACUCAGGCGCUCAGUUUUGGGGCUCAGUUUUGGGUUUGGGGGCUCAUUUUUGGGGCUCAGUUUUGGGGUUUUAGGGCUCAGUUUUGGGGUUUGGGGGCUCAGUUUUGGGGCUCAGUUUUGGGGUUUUGGGGCUCUGUUUUUUGGUUUUGAGGAUGACUUUUGGGUUCAU
RNAcentral lists this long non-coding RNA (497 nucleotides) under Phasianus colchicus (ring-necked pheasant). RNAcentral's name for it is "lncRNA (ENSPCLG00000016947.1)". The record is from RNAcentral. Lineage: Eukaryota; Metazoa; Chordata; Aves; Galliformes; Phasianidae.